This is a long non-coding RNA of Neofelis nebulosa (Clouded leopard), 389 nucleotides long. RefSeq lists it as uncharacterized. The transcript is spliced from 2 exons. The record is from RefSeq and is a predicted model, not a curated record. NCBI's taxonomy places the organism in Eukaryota, Metazoa, Chordata, Mammalia, Carnivora, Felidae.
GCCCUGUGUCCCAGGCCGCUGGGUCUGGAGGUCACCCUGGCAACAGGCUGUGUUGUGAUGCUUCACAGAGCCAAGGGCUUGUUAGAGCCACACAGGAAGGUCCCCUCUGACCCUGGCAGGCCGGCAGGCCAAAUCUGGACACUCCUGGGAAUGGCCCAAUGACAGACCAUUGUCAGGCCUUGUUACCAGACCAGGAGAAGAGCAGCUGGCCAAAGGAGAGAGAGCCAGCCGGGACUAUUUGUGCUUGGACCCCCUGAUUACAGCUUCCACCACACUCUACAGAGCGAGGCCUCUGGGGCUUGAAUCCCAGCUCUGGCAAGUUGUGAAAAUGCUGUCACCUCCCUGUGCCCCGGCUUCCUCCUCUUGGAAAUGAAUACUUCACAAGGUUA